UACGGAAGGCAGCAGUGGGGAAUAUUGCACAAUGGGCGAAAGCCUGAUGCAGCUAUGCCGCGUGUAUGAAGAAGGCCUUAGGGUUGUAAAGUACUUUCAUCGGGGAGGAAAAAACAAAACUAAUAAUUUUAUUUCUUGACGUUACCCGAAAAAGAAGCACCGGCUAACUCCGUGCCAGCAGCCGCGGUAAUACGGAGGGUGCUAGCGUUAAUCAGAAUUACUGGGCGUAAAGAGCACGUAGGUGGUUUUUUUAAAGUCAGAUGUGAAAUCCCUGGGCUUAACCUGGAACUGCAUUUUGAAACUGAAAUACUAGAGUAUCGUAGAGGGAGGUAGAAUUCUAGGUGUAGCGGUGAAAUGCGUAGAUAUCUGGAGGAAUACCUGUGGCGAAAGCGGCCUCUAAACGAAUACUGACACUGAGUGCGAAAGCGUGGGGAGCAAACAGGGAUUAGAUACC
This 454-nucleotide ribosomal RNA is filed under the name uncultured bacterium. RNAcentral's name for it is "bacterial SSU rRNA". It matches the Rfam family "Bacterial small subunit ribosomal RNA", at positions 340 to 786 of the family's 1533-position model. The record is from RNAcentral.